CACUGCCCACAGCUCAAGGCCAUAUGUUUAAAAUUUGCAGCAACAAACUUGGGAGGUGCGUGUAGUCCGUAGAUCUGAGCGGUGCAAUGUUUCAGUGGUCAUGCAGUCAGUAGGUUUCAGACACUUGGAACAGAGUUGCCCCUCGCUGUUGUCAGAGCUACUGGAAACAGUUGCUUCGGUGGAUGAGAAAUCAAAUCUUGUAUCAGGUAAGAGGAGAAGUGGCAGCAGUAUUUUUGGGCUUGAUUUGGCAGCAGAUGGUGGUGUAGCAGAACCCGGUAAUCCCAACGGCCGGCGGCUGCGUAGGCGGAUCGUCUAGUAUUGGGCUUGACGUGUACAAUUGCUAUGAAUGUGAAUCCCCCCUUUAUGAAGCAUAUGUUCAUAUUAGUAUUUAUUAGUUGAGAAACUCAAAAUACUCUUAAUGCUUUUGCAUAACAAUGAUACUAUGUUCCCAAUGCUAGAAUGAUUGUCCAGUCCUGUCUGCCUCUUUUUGGUAUGAUUCUCCUCUCUUUUAUAUUGGUCGGCGAUCUGUUUGUACAUAAUACUUUAUCAAUUAAUGUGAUCUUCAAUGAUAA
This is a non-coding RNA of Sesamum indicum (sesame), 572 nucleotides long. The record is from RefSeq and is a predicted model, not a curated record. Lineage: Eukaryota; Viridiplantae; Streptophyta; Magnoliopsida; Lamiales; Pedaliaceae.